This 588-nucleotide ribosomal RNA is filed under the name Volatinia jacarina (blue-black grassquit). RNAcentral describes it as "partial 16S ribosomal RNA". It matches the Rfam family "Bacterial large subunit ribosomal RNA", at positions 1818 to 2620 of the family's 2925-position model. The record is from RNAcentral. Lineage: Eukaryota; Metazoa; Chordata; Aves; Passeriformes; Thraupidae.
GCCCUCACCUUAAACCAGGUAUUGAAGGUGAUGCCUGCCCGGUGACAUGCUUGUUCAACGGCCGCGGUAUCCUAACCGUGCAAAGGUAGCGCAAUCAAUUGUCCCAUAAAUCGAGACUAGUAUGAAUGGCUAAACGAGGUCUUAACUGUCUCUUACAGGCAAUCGGUGAAAUUGAUCUCCCUGUACAAAAGCAGGGAUAAACACAUAAGACGAGAAGACCCUGUGGAACUUCAAAACCAGCAACCACCUUAUAACACAUACCCACCCACCGGGCUCACUGACAUAUAAGCCACUGGUCUGCGUUUUUCGGUUGGGGCGACCUUGGAGCAAAACAAAACCUCCAAAAAUUAGACCACAUCUCUAGACCAAGAGCAACCUCUCGACGUGCUAACAGUACCCAGACCCAAUAUAAUUGAUCAAUGGACCAAGCUACCCCAGGGAUAACAGCGCAAUCUCCUCCGAGAGUCCAUAUCGACGGGGAGGUUUACGACCUCGAUGUUGGAUCAGGACAUCCUAGUGGUGCAGCCGCUACUAAGGGUUCGUUUGUUCAACGAUUAACAGUCCUACGUGAUCUGAGUUCAGACCGGA